AUGGUAAUGGUCCCUGAAGACAGCGCUUGCCAGAAUCAAUGGAGGAGAACUUGGCAGGACUCUCAGUUCAAUGUAUGGGAAUUCUGGAGGCUGUGGCAGACAAAAUGUCUGACUUGGAGGUUGCAAUCCCAAGGAAGCCUCCAUCCCUAGGGAAGUUUCCAUCCCUGCAAAGGAAUCAAGGACGAUGAGUCUGAAAAUGGGGACUGCCGAACAAGAUUGUGGUUAAAAUCUCAGCACUUGAAUUCUAGGGAUGUGUGGACUCACAGUUACCAGCUGAAAACUGGACCCUCCUUUCGAAUGGAGCUGACUGAAGUCUUCGACCCUUUGACCCGCUGGCAUUGGGUGGACGUCCUCUCGGCUCCCACCUUAAUCAAUGGCGUCAUGGCCGCAGUGGCUGGGGCCGGGCACCCGACUUUUCUGGACAUCUCUCAGCAAAGAGGAAGGAUGGAAACCGCAUCGCAAAAAGGAAUCACCAAAGGCAAACUGGAGCUUCCUAACAAGUGUCACCUGAGAGAUCUUCCUGUAAUCCAGAUGGUUAGUGUUGAGACUCUGUUCAUAUUUGCAGUGAAAUGGUUUACACCUUGAAAGCUUCCUUCCUCCUUUCCAAGCUUACAUUAAGUCGCUUUCAUUUGAUCUCCUGAAUAUCUUUUGAAUCAGCCAGCUUUUGAAUCUCCUUCAACAUCAUAAUGCAGGUCUUGCCUGACCUAUGGCAUUGGAGUCCAGUGGUGUCCAUAGAUCUAUUCUUUCCAUUCUUCCAGUAUGUUUUUUUGCAGAAAUCUUUUAAAUAGGUCAUUACAAAAAAUUGAAAUGGAAAUGGAACUGGAAGAAGUUCAUAGUUCUCAUAGACAGAGUAAAGCAUUAUUUUGAGAAUAAAAGGAAUCUCCUUACAUGGUCUAUAGGGUCCUGUAUUGUCGCGACCCCUUGCCCGCAAGGAAGACGCAACUCGGGAAUCUUCUUUCAACAGUUUAUUCAGGCCCUUGAUAUUUCUUCUUCUCUCUCCCGGAUGCCCCUCCCAGCCUUAAUAAAGCAUCCCAAGCCCCAAUGCAAAGCUGCCGCGUGGAGCUUUCUCACAGGGUGGUGAAAAAUCAUGUGCCAACUCUCCCAGAUAAGGAGUUGUUUGUCACUGACCACAGCGGAGCCAGCGUCAUCUUGUAAUGGCGACCAUAAUCUGCAGAAACGGCAGAAGCGGCUCACCACAGUUCCCCCUUUUCUGUUUUCUUAAAACAAUACAGGCGAGAGUAGAGGUCUUAUCCCACUGUGCAGAAGUGGCUGCAUAGUAUGACUCAGUCCUAAGGAGGCGCCUUCCCCAGAUCUGAAGCCAUAUCAGCCGACACCUUUUUUCGCAGGGCGGGGCGUGGACCCGUCUAACCCGCAUGCAAUAGGACAUGCUCUCCUUGAGGUCCUCGUCAAGGAUCACUCAAGUGCAGUGCCUUGCCUCGCAUCCUGUAUCGUGACGAUGGUGGACAAAGGGAGAUAGCUGAGGCUGAACUGUGGCUAUUUAUAAUGACAAACAAGUUGACAGCACCCUGAAAGAAAGGCAUGAACUUCAAGGCGAUAGAAAAGUACUAGUGUGGAAACCCAUCUGCGUGCAAUGGCAGUAAGACCGGCAGAGUGCAAGGGCUUUCCAACACUAAGAGAAUAACAAGGAAAGUCAUGUCGAUCCCAGUGCAAUGUUAUAAUAACUUGGGGUGUAACGACCAUGACAAAGGUUUACUGCUUAAGAUGCGCAAGCCAGACUUGAGGCGAGUUGCCAUUUUCUAAAGCUGCAAGAGCUUGUAUGAUCAUAGCCUUUUCUUGUGCAUGGCAAGUUUUAAGGCGACAGAGAAACCACAAACAGAGUACAACACUGAAGCAACACAUUGCACCAAAAAUGCCUACUCCCACCCACUCUUUAAAGAAGGAAAAAGCAGAAGAUAUCCAAUCGGUGAAUUGACCCAAAGUCACUGGUUCAACACGGGUACUGUUCA
Long non-coding RNA from Marmota monax (woodchuck), 1967 nucleotides. RefSeq lists it as uncharacterized. NCBI's taxonomy places the organism in Eukaryota, Metazoa, Chordata, Mammalia, Rodentia, Sciuridae. The transcript is spliced from 5 exons. The record is from RefSeq and is a predicted model, not a curated record.